Molecule: unclassified non-coding RNA, 352 nt
Filed under: Hevea brasiliensis (rubber tree)
Lineage: Eukaryota; Viridiplantae; Streptophyta; Magnoliopsida; Malpighiales; Euphorbiaceae
Source: RNAcentral
GCCCCCUGAAGUCAGCAAAUUUAAAAUAAAUAAAUAAAUAAUUCCAAACUAAUCAAAUAGUUAAACAGGGAAAAAACUUUCAUUCCUCAUCCAAUGCAUUGAAGUUAUAUGUCUUGUUUUAUUUUUCUCAUAAGGGGGUUGGAAAAGAAGUACCAAGAGAAGAAAAGGCCUUCAAAUGGUAUUUAUCAAUCUAGAAAAGGCAUGUGAUUAAAAAGGGAAUAAUUAAUAGAUAGGCAUUUACAUAUAAAGAGGCAAUCUCUAGUGGUCAAACAAUGAGGGAUGAUACAAAAGAUUUUUCCUAUUGCAAUUAGAUUGCUCCAAGGAUGGUCCUUGAGCCCUUAUCUUUUUGCUU